UACGUAGGCAGCAAGCGUUGUUCGGAGUUACUGGGCGUAAAGAGUAUGUAGGCGGUUGGGUAAGUUUGGUGUGAAAUCUCCCGGCUUAACUGGGAGGGUGCGCUAAAGACUGCCUGGCUCGAGUGUGGGAGAGGAAAGCGGAAUUCCUGGUGUAGCGGUGAAAUGCGCAGAUAUCAGGAGGAACACCGGUGGCGAAGGCGGAUCUCUGGGCCUUACCUGACGCUGAGGCGCGAAAGCUAGGGGAGCGAACAGG
RNAcentral lists this ribosomal RNA (253 nucleotides) under uncultured bacterium. RNAcentral's name for it is "partial 16S ribosomal RNA". It matches the Rfam family "Bacterial small subunit ribosomal RNA", at positions 524 to 776 of the family's 1533-position model. The record is from RNAcentral.